Molecule: transfer RNA, 82 nt
Filed under: Bacillota bacterium
Lineage: Bacteria; Bacillati; Bacillota
Description: tRNA-Leu
Rfam family: tRNA
About the family: Transfer RNA (tRNA) molecules are approximately 80 nucleotides in length.
Source: RNAcentral
GCGGGCGUGGCGAAAUUGGUAGACGCGCCGGGUUUAGGUCCCGGUCCUUCACGGGGUGGGGGUUCGAGUCCCUUCGCCCGCA